Molecule: long non-coding RNA, 533 nt
Organism: Clupea harengus (Atlantic herring)
Lineage: Eukaryota; Metazoa; Chordata; Actinopteri; Clupeiformes; Clupeidae
Exons: 2
Source: RefSeq, a predicted model, not a curated record
GCUGACUGAUAUCUCCUGGGGAGGUGACUGAUAUCUUCUACAACACCAGAGCAGGUGACUGAUAUCUCCUGUGCUACAACGCCUGGGGCAGGUGACUGAUAUCUCCUGUGCCUACAUCACCAGGGAGGUGACUGAUAUCUCCUGGGACAGGUGACUGAUAUCUCCUGUGCUACAACGCCUGGGGCAGGUCACUGAUAUCUCCUGUGCCUACAUCACCAGGGAGGUGACUGAUAUCUCCUGGGACAGGUGACUGAUAUCUCCUGGGGCAGGUGACUGAUAUCUCCUGGGGCAGGUGACUGAUAUCUCCUGGGGCAGGUGACUGAUAUCUCCUGUGCCUACAUCACCAGGGGAGGUGACUGAUAUCUCCUGUGCUACAACGCCUGGGGCAGGUGACUGAUAUCUCCUGUGCCUACAUCACCAGGGAGGUGACUGAUAUGUCCUGGGGCAGGUGACUGAUAUCUCCUGGGGCAGGUGACUGAUAUGUCCUGGGGCAGGUGACUGAUAUGUCCUGGGGCAGGUGACUGAUAUCUCCU